UGCCCUGAAGUCAGUGUGUGAUCAGAUUAAGAAAACUUCAAUACACCAUACGGAGUCAGAAAAGGUGCAUACGCUGCAAGCCGUGGUACAGCAGCUGGAGGAAGAGGUCUGUGAAGCACGCAAAAUGUAUUGCGAGAUAGCAGCAGAGCAGGCGAAAACACAGGAGAUGCGCAG
Long non-coding RNA from Tachysurus vachellii, 174 nucleotides. RefSeq lists it as uncharacterized. Lineage: Eukaryota; Metazoa; Chordata; Actinopteri; Siluriformes; Bagridae. The record is from RefSeq and is a predicted model, not a curated record. The transcript has 3 exons.